This 491-nucleotide ribosomal RNA is filed under the name uncultured bacterium. Its description in RNAcentral is "partial 16S ribosomal RNA". It matches the Rfam family "Bacterial small subunit ribosomal RNA", at positions 28 to 507 of the family's 1533-position model. The record is from RNAcentral.
GAUGAACGCUGGCUACAGGCUUAACACAUGCAAGUCGAGGGGAAACGACGGGGAAGCUUGCUUCCCCGGGCGUCGACCGGCGCACGGGUGAGUAACGCGUAUCCAACCUGCCUCUGACUGAGGGAUAACCCGUCGAAAGUCGGCCUAAUACCUCAUGGCAUCGUCUGCGGGCAUCCAACGACGAUUAAAGAUUUCAUCGGUCAGAGAUGGGGAUGCGUCUGAUUAGCUUGUUGGCGGGGUAACGGCCCACCAAGGCGACGAUCAGUAGGGGUUCUGAGAGGAAGGUCCCCCACAUUGGAACUGAGACACGGUCCAAACUCCUACGGGAGGCAGCAGUGAGGAAUAUUGGUCAAUGGGCGAGAGCCUGAACCAGCCAAGUAGCGUGCAGGAUGACGGCCCUAUGGGUUGUAAACUGCUUUUAUGCGGGGAUAAAGUGAGGGACGUGCCCUUCAUUGCAGGUACCGCAUGAAUAAGGACCGGCUAAUUCCGUG